Penaeus chinensis is the source of this 335-nucleotide long non-coding RNA. RefSeq lists it as uncharacterized. The record is from RefSeq and is a predicted model, not a curated record. NCBI's taxonomy places the organism in Eukaryota, Metazoa, Arthropoda, Malacostraca, Decapoda, Penaeidae. The transcript is spliced from 3 exons.
CGUGACAUCUCGCCCUCUCGCAACAACAACAACAUCGUCUUCAAUUUUCUCCCGGUGGCUUCCCUCUCUUAUAACAGGCUUUCUCACCUCUAUUAACGCAAGAAUUGCCCCGAAUUCGUCCAUUAUGUACAGGGCUCGUCACCCUGAUGCUCGUGGGGCACGAGGGGUAGGUGGUCACCCUAUGCAGUAUGUUAGACGUCCCGUCAGAGAACAAGUUCGAGAGUCCAUCCCAGCAGUUGUGAUUGGGGUCAUCCUCAUUUUGGUGGGCAGUGGUGUUCUCUUCUGGAAUGAGGGGCGUGCAGUACAAACAUCUCGUAGUUUGGAUGAGGGAUAUA